This 651-nucleotide ribosomal RNA is filed under the name Pachyhynobius shangchengensis (Shangcheng stout salamander). RNAcentral's name for it is "partial 12S ribosomal RNA". The stretch from base 198 to 646 matches the Rfam family "Bacterial small subunit ribosomal RNA", at positions 875 to 1520 of the family's 1533-position model. The record is from RNAcentral. Lineage: Eukaryota; Metazoa; Chordata; Amphibia; Caudata; Hynobiidae.
ACGGCCUAAAGCGUGGUUAAAUUAUAUUAUUAAAAAUAGAAAUAAAAAUUAACUUAACUGUUGUACGUAUAUGUUAAACGUAAAAUUAAAAUCGAAAGAUAUUCUAAUUAACAAAUUAUUUGAACCCACGAAAGCUAAGAAACAAACUAGGAUUAGAUACCCUACUAUGCUUAGCCUUAAACUUUGAAUUUCCGCCCGAGUACUACGAGCCAUAGCUUAAAACUCAAAGGACUUGGCGGUGCUCUAUACCCCCCUAGAGGAGCCUGUUCUAUAAUUGAUAAUCCCCGCUAAACCUCACCACUUAUUGCUAAUCCCGUUUAUAUACCGCCGUCGUCAGCUCACCAUUUAAGUGUAUAAUAGUAGGCAAAAUAAUAAACAUAAAAACGUCAGGUCAAGGUGUAGCGAAUUAAGUGGAAAGAAAUGGGCUACAUUUUCUAUACAGAAAAUACGAAAAAUUUUAUGAAAAAACAUUUAAAGGUGGAUUUAGCAGUAAAAAGAAAAUAGAGUGUUCUUUUUAAAUAGGCCCUAGAGCGCGCACACACCGCCCGUCACCCUCUUCAUAAAAAAAAUUCACAAUAUAAUAAUAAAUAUAUUAAUAAAGAAGAGGUAAGUCGUAACAUGGUAAGUUUACCGGAAGGUGUACUUGGAUUU